Molecule: non-coding RNA, 121 nt
Organism: Coprinopsis sp. MPI-PUGE-AT-0042
Lineage: Eukaryota; Fungi; Basidiomycota; Agaricomycetes; Agaricales; Psathyrellaceae
Source: the annotation of a GenBank genome assembly
AGCAAUAUGGCGCAGUGGUAGCGCGCGGGGCUCAUAGGUCACGUGCACACGUCGCAACAGCUGCGGCGUGUGUACGUGGCCGGUAACCCUGAGGUCACUCGAUCGAGACGAGUUGUUGCUA